UAAGGAAAUGUGGAGCCAAGCCUUGACAAGACCGGCAAGAGAGAUGCGCACAUCGAAUCCUGCCAAGUAGGGGAACCUACAACAUUCCUCAGAUCCAGCCUGAUAAGGAGUAAAGCCAAGCCUAUACAAGGUCAAGACUCUUUUGUUCGAGACAGCAUUUGUUGUUCUCUGAAGGUUGCCGGAACCUGAGGCCCGAUGGCCUUUCCUGGUAGCCCAGGCUGCAAAGAGCCUGUUCAAUUAUGUAUUGGGAUGCGGCCUGUGCUAGGUCUGCUCUGUCCCACCGCUCAGGCCCUCUCCACCGCGCCAGCAAACGUCCCCAGCAGGUUCGUUCAGAAUGGCCCAAGCCUAGAAGCAACCCAGACGCCCUUUGACGGGUGACUAGCGAGAUGCACCGUGGUCCACCCACACCACGGAACAGAACACUACGCCACAAUCAAAAGGACUGAGCUAUUUGUGCACAUAACCACCUGGUGGCCACCUUGGCAGAAGUUUGCCCAAGAGAGAGGAACCCACCAGUGCCCAGCCAGAAGAUUCUUGACAGCAGAGAACCAAACGGGUUGAAAUUCAGGCUUUAGCAAUGGAAAAAAAAACAGCCAGCACCUUCCUGUAAUCUCAUCUGCACCCUGGACCUCUCCAGACCUCUGGUUUAAAGUCUCUUGAGCAUUUUAAAAGGAGUAAACAUGGAAAAGAAGGUGAAGGUGAUAGAUAUGACCGCAACCACAUAAAAGCAAAAACUCAGAAGAGAGGGGAAGGAAUGCACCAACAUGCUGGCAGCGACUGUCGUGGGCUGCAGGGGAUUUUGCCCCUCAGCAUUGCACCGCCCGGCACUCUCCACUGGUCUGCAGGAGCCGGCUGUCUGUAGAGGGCGCACACUGUAGUUAGGCGGCUGACGCUGAGCGGGGUGUGUGGAUUCUGAAACACUCCUCCCUUCUCGGAGUCUCAACGUUCUCAUCUGAAAGCAGGGCUCAUGACGGAGCGUUCCCUCUAAAACACGUAUCCCACUCAGCGGAGCCCUGCAAGAUUCCUGUCUCCGUUUCACAGAGGGGACGUGGAGACACAGACCCCUGUGGGGAAGCAGAGCCCAGGGCUCGGCCACGUGGGGACACAGUGAGCUCCUUGCUCGUGUCAACUUGAAGCCAACAAGAGGUGAAGGGCACAAUGAGAAUGCAACCCAGACCCCAGGCUCACGAGUCCUCAGCACUGUUAACUGUUGAGGUCUUUGGGUGUUAGUCUCAUAAAGAGCCCGCUCUCCACAUUUACUUGUACAGAAGCAAUGGCCUCUUCCCAGAUUCUGCGUUAUGUGACUUAAAUAAUUAGCAAUGAUGAGAUCAAACCUGGCACCGUAGAGGGCCUUUCUGGACAUUCUGUUCAAUGCCCCUAUUUUUAGCUCGGUUGCCUUUUCCUUGGCUUUCUGACAGCCCGGAUUCUCGCUUUCCCCUUUCAAGCCGAGGUUGUCCUCCAAGAAGCCUGUCCAUGCCCAAGGCUUCCGUUCCUCACUGGUGUCCCUCCUCAGUGGGGGUGGGAGGUAGUGCGCAGGGGUGACCACAUUGCGACAGAUCCUCACCUGUCCUCACCCACCUUUUCAGGCCAUUCUCAAGCCCAAGGAGCCACCCCCUGCCCUGAUGGUAGAAGCCACCUGUAGCCUAGCUUAGCUUUUGGGUGCAGGCCCCACGCCUCUUGUGCCAGCCCCUGGCACAUCUAAUAUUAGGAUGACAUGGGCAGGGAGAGGAGAGGUGAAGGGAAGGCCAAGUUAAAGGCUGGACUGCCCAAAAUGCAAGUGUCGAGGGCACCAAAUCUUCAUCAGAACAGGUGGGAAGGGUGGUGUCGCUCAUCCAGACUUCCAUGCAUCUCUCCCCACCUAAGUGGCACAAGGUAAGGGCACCCAGUCACAGCGGCCCGUGGGUGCACGCAGACUCCAGCAGACAUGCGGGGUGCCCAAGCCGUGUGUCCUCAGCUCAUUCCAACUGAACUGCCAUGGGGCAGCCCGGGCACUCUGGGACUUUUGGGGGUUCCCCUUUCCUGCCCAAGGCCAGGGACCUUCUCCAGGGAUGCAGAGCAGGCCGAGCAGUGCCAGGGAACUGGCACCACCAGGUCCUUCCCCACCAAGUGGGUGGAUAAAUUUUCCAAGCUUCCUGUGCUCCGAGUGUAUCAUGCACAGCUUCUGAGCAGGCCCAGCAGGGCUGAGCCCACAGGGACAACCAGCAACAACAGGCACUGUUGUGGCCCCUUGUCCUUCCCUCCUCACCCUCCCCUCUCCCUUCCUCCCCUCUCUGGGGCCACCUGCAAAUAAACCACCUGCACCCCCGACCUCGAGUCCUUCUUCAGAGACCACUGUGGUUCUGAUGCCCACUCACACUGCCCAGCCCCUACUCGAGAGGGCCACCCACAGUUGCCCAACAGUCUAAAACAGAUGCAUCCUUGGCCUGGUCACUGAAAAUCAAUGAUUCAUUUGUUAUUUCUAUGUUUAAUGUUUAAUAUGCUGCUU
Artibeus jamaicensis (Jamaican fruit-eating bat) is the source of this 2485-nucleotide long non-coding RNA. RefSeq lists it as uncharacterized. The transcript has 3 exons. NCBI's taxonomy places the organism in Eukaryota, Metazoa, Chordata, Mammalia, Chiroptera, Phyllostomidae. The record is from RefSeq and is a predicted model, not a curated record.